RNAcentral lists this ribosomal RNA (484 nucleotides) under uncultured bacterium. Its description in RNAcentral is "partial 16S ribosomal RNA". It matches the Rfam family "Bacterial small subunit ribosomal RNA", at positions 30 to 507 of the family's 1533-position model. The record is from RNAcentral.
AUUGAACGCUGGCGGCAGGCCUAACACAUGCAAGUCGAGCGGAUGAAGGGAGCUUGCUCCUGGAUUCAGCGGCGGACGGGUGUGUAAUGCCUAGGAAUCUGCUUGUUAGUGGGGGAUAACGUCCGGAAACGGGCGCUAAUACUGCAUACGUCCUGAGGGAGCAAGGGGGGGAUCUUCGGACCUCACGCUAUCAGAUGAGCCUAGGUCGGAUUAGCUAGCUGGUGGGUUAAAGGCCUACCAAGCCGACGAUCCGUAACUGGUCGUAGAGGAUGAUCAGUCACACUAGAGCUGAGACCGCGUCCAUGCGACUGCGAGAGGCAGCAGUGGGCAAUAUUAGGCAGUAGGCGGAAGCCUGAUACAGCCAUGCCGAGUGUGUGAAGGAGGUCUUCGGAUUGUAAAGCAGUUUAAGUUGUGAGGAAGGGCAGUAAGUUAAUACCUAGCGGUUUUGACGUUACCAACAGAAUAAGCACCGGCUAACUUCGUG